RNAcentral lists this ribosomal RNA (711 nucleotides) under uncultured spirochete. RNAcentral's name for it is "bacterial SSU rRNA". It matches the Rfam family "Bacterial small subunit ribosomal RNA", at positions 59 to 759 of the family's 1533-position model. Lineage: Bacteria; Pseudomonadati; Spirochaetota; Spirochaetia; Spirochaetales. The record is from RNAcentral.
AAGUCGAGCGGCAGGGUGCAGCAAUGCGCCUGAGAGCGGCGGACUGGUGAGUAGCGCGUGGGUAACCUACCCUUGGGGAUGGGGAUAGCCAUUAGAAAUAGUGGGUAAUACCGAAUACGGUUGCGAGGCAGGGGCUUUGCAACGAAAGGGGCUUCGGCUCCGCCCGGGGAUGGGCCCGCGUUCCAUUAGCUAGUUGGUGGGGUAAGGGCCUACCAAGGCGAUGAUGGGUAGCCGGCCUGAGAGGGUGAACGGCCACACUGGGACUGAGAUGCGGCCCAGACUCCUACGGGAGGCAGCAGCUAAGAAUAUUCCGCAAUGGACGAAAGUCUGACGGAGCGACGCCGCGUGGAUGAAGAAGGCCGAAAGGUUGUAAAGUUCUUUUGUUGCUGAAGAAUAAGCGGGGGAGGGAAUGCCCUCGUGAUGACGUUAGGCGACGAAUAAGCCCCGGCUAAUUACGUGCCAGCAGCCGCGGUAACACGUAAGGGGCGAGCGUUGUUCGGAAUUAUUGGGCGUAAAGGGCGCGUAGGCGGUUAUGUAAGCCUGGCGUGAAAUGGUAGGGCUUAACCCUAUCACGGCGUUGGGAACUGUGUAACUUGAGUCAUGGAGGGGGAGUUGGAAUUCCGCGUGUAGGGGUGAAAUCUGUAGAUAUGCGGAAGAACACCGGUGGCGAAGGCGAACUUCUAGCCAAUGACUGACGCUGAGGCGCGAAAG